UGCGUAGGUGGCCUUUUAAGUUGGAUGUGAAAUACCCGGGCUUAACUUGGGGGGUGCAUCUAAUACUGGGAGGCUAGAGUGCAGGAGAGGGAAGCGGAAUUCCUAGUGUAGCGGUGAAAUGCGUAGAUAUUAGGAGGAACACCAGUGGCGAAGGCGGCUUUCUGGACUGUAACUGACACUGAGGCACGAAAGCGUGGGGAGCAAACA
Molecule: ribosomal RNA, 207 nt
Filed under: uncultured bacterium
Lineage: Bacteria
Description: partial 16S ribosomal RNA
Rfam family: Bacterial small subunit ribosomal RNA
Source: RNAcentral